Molecule: long non-coding RNA, 1585 nt
Organism: Carya illinoinensis
Lineage: Eukaryota; Viridiplantae; Streptophyta; Magnoliopsida; Fagales; Juglandaceae
Exons: 3
Source: RefSeq, a predicted model, not a curated record
UACUUGCAAAUACUGUCAUAAACCUAAAGUGAAACAAUGAUGUCAAGGAGAAGAACUAAACAAAGCGUUUUGAGGAUCUUUAGUUAUGAUAUGCGUUUUGUUUAAGCUAUUUAUUUUGGGGGACCUUGGUUUGUCAUUUAGUUAUUGUUACUUCUCCAGAAAUUUUAUCACAAUCCUUGUUUCAGUUAUGGGUUAUGUUGUACGAGUUGUGGGUGGGUAUAUAAGAGCAAAGAGGGAAAGUAGAGGGUUUAUCUGGAAUCUAUUGAAAUUUUAGAGUUGUAUUCUAACAAAUGGUAUCUAGAGCCGACGAUUCUUGGAGGACGACACACUUUUCGACCAACAACAAGAUAGAGUGUGAUUAUUCUUUAGUUGUUCAUUGGCUGUCCUAGCAUGCUUGCAAUGUUUGGUAUCUUUGGGAUUAUUAGAAAGAGUUGCUUAAGGCGAUUGAAGGCAUGACUUUCUCUAUUUCACACAUCUUUUGUGAGGGCAACCAAGUUGCAGAUUUCUUUGCUUAACAAGGAGAAGCUAGGGUCACUAGGAUGUAUGGCGAGCCUGACGUAUUACCUCAUGCUUCGGCUAGCUUCUCACAAGAAGAGUCUUCAGGAAAUUAGGGAGCACUUGAAUUAGCUGAUGGAGUUGGCGUGAAUGUUAACGGCAAAUUAGAACAAAUUUCAUAAUUGUAAGGUCAUUAUAGAAAAAUCAGUGAGUGGGCAAUCAUCAACAAAGAUAACUUCCACCUCUUCCCACACCUCAUUCUUCGUCAAAUCACUUGGUCCUGAUGAGAAGCCACCUUUAAUUCCCAAUAAGGCUUUAAUUCCCAACAAAUUGUACAACUACAAACUCAAAAGGUGAAGAAAAAACCCCUCUCAAUAGCUGUGGAGCAAAAGAAACAAACUAUUAAAUCUAAAAUGCUCGUGAAACCUGCACCCUAGGGGAAUGGCUUAGCAACUAUUUCUGACAAAGAUGAGACUGAAGAGGCAAGAAAAGAAGAGUCAAAGCAAACAAAUGAGGAAGAGGAGUUGGCUAGACAAAUGGAGCACUUGAGAAGGGAAGAGAAGUCAACCAAGGACAUUGUUGGCAUGGAGUGGAUUGAGAAAAAAGUUGGGCCCUCAACGUGCAAAUGGAUCUUCGUCUGAAGGACAUUAGCAAUCGGGACCAUGCAACAAAAAAUAAGAGCAUCCCAGAAGUAGAGAAGCACUAUACUAAGGCAACACUACCCAUGGAUGAAAAGCGUACCACUGCAUUUGGGUUGAUGGAGAUUGAUGAAGCAGCUCGCAUGGUUGAGUUUGCCAAGAAAUUUAAAGGUGGAGUGGUAAAACAUCCAUUUGCCCAGUCAACAAGGAAAAAGGAACCAAACAAAGGGGCUGGAAUAGAUAGCAAGGGGCCAUAUUGCAACCCCUCGCCCAAGCAGUGGCAAGGAACAAGAAGGAAAAUAUGUGGUAUAAAGACUUUCUUAUGACAUCUAUCACAAGAAUGUAGAUACCACACGCAUCGAGAAGGAACUAAUAGGAAAAGUCUUCACAAAAUUAUUGGAUCCCUAAAAUGUCAAUGACAAAUUCAGUAUUAAUCCAUGCAACAUUAAUGA